This 831-nucleotide ribosomal RNA is filed under the name Vibrio harveyi. RNAcentral's name for it is "bacterial SSU rRNA". It matches the Rfam family "Bacterial small subunit ribosomal RNA", at positions 77 to 907 of the family's 1533-position model. The record is from RNAcentral. Lineage: Bacteria; Pseudomonadati; Pseudomonadota; Gammaproteobacteria; Vibrionales; Vibrionaceae.
CGAUAACGGCGUCGAGCGGCGGACGGGUGAGUAAUGCCUAGGAAAUUGCCCUGAUGUGGGGGAUAACCAUUGGAAACGAUGGCUAAUACCGCAUAAUGCCUACGGGCCAAAGAGGGGGACCUUCGGGCCUCUCGCGUCAGGAUAUGCCUAGGUGGGAUUAGCUAGUUGGUGAGGUAAUGGCUCACCAAGGCGACGAUCCCUAGCUGGUCUGAGAGGAUGAUCAGCCACACUGGAACUGAGACACGGUCCAGACUCCUACGGGAGGCAGCAGUGGGGAAUAUUGCACAAUGGGCGCAAGCCUGAUGCAGCCAUGCCGCGUGUGUGAAGAAGGCCUUCGGGUUGUAAAGCACUUUCAGUCGUGAGGAAGGUGGUGUAGUUAAUAGCUGCAUUAUUUGACGUUAGCGACAGAAGAAGCACCGGCUAACUCCGUGCCAGCAGCCGCGGUAAUACGGAGGGUGCGAGCGUUAAUCGGAAUUACUGGGCGUAAAGCGCAUGCAGGUGGUUUGUUAAGUCAGAUGUGAAAGCCCGGGGCUCAACCUCGGAAUAGCAUUUGAAACUGGCAGACUAGAGUACUGUAGAGGGGGGUAGAAUUUCAGGUGUAGCGGUGAAAUGCGUAGAGAUCUGAAGGAAUACCGGUGGCGAAGGCGGCCCCCUGGACAGAUACUGACACUCAGAUGCGAAAGCGUGGGGAGCAAACAGGAUUAGAUACCCUGGUAGUCCACGCCGUAAACGAUGUCUACUUGGAGGUUGUGGCCUUGAGCCGUGGCUUUCGGAGCUAACGCGUUAAGUAGACCGCCUGGGGAGUACGGUCGCAAGAUUAAAACUCAAAUG